GCCGGGUGCAGUUGCGUGCACCUAUAGUCCCAGCUACUUGGGAGGCUGAGGUGGGAGGAUUGCUUGAGCCCAGGAGGCAGGGGUUGCAGUGAGUUGUGAUCGUGCCACUGCACUCCAGCCUGGACAACAGAGUAAGACCCUGUCUCAA
This is an unclassified non-coding RNA of Pongo abelii (Sumatran orangutan), 148 nucleotides long. It matches the Rfam family "Metazoan signal recognition particle RNA". Rfam says of the family: The signal recognition particle (SRP) is a universally conserved ribonucleoprotein. It is involved in the co-translational targeting of proteins to membranes. Lineage: Eukaryota; Metazoa; Chordata; Mammalia; Primates; Hominidae. The record is from Ensembl.